UACGUAGGGUGCGAGCGUUAAUCGGAAUUACUGGGCGUAAAGCGUGCGCAGGCGGUUAUUUAAGUCUGAUGUGAAAUCCCCGGGCUCAACCUGGGAACUGCAUCUGUGACUGUAUAGCUAGAGUACGGUAGAGGGGGAUGGAAUUCCGCGUGUAGCAGUGAAAUGCGUAGAUAUGCGGAGGAACACCGAUGGCGAAGGCAAUCCCCUGGACCUGUACUGACGCUCAUGCACGAAAGCGUGGGGAGCAAACAGG
This 253-nucleotide ribosomal RNA is filed under the name uncultured bacterium. RNAcentral's name for it is "partial 16S ribosomal RNA". It matches the Rfam family "Bacterial small subunit ribosomal RNA", at positions 524 to 776 of the family's 1533-position model. The record is from RNAcentral.